UGAACGUCACACGGAGCGCACCUGGCGGUGAUUCUCGGCACGAACCUACGAACCUCCUAACGCGCAAUGCAGUGCGUAAAGUGAGUUCUUCGAGCCUUUGUGUUAUACAUACGAAGCUGUAAUAGCUAGUUUGCGGAUUUUCAUGCAAAUUCAUAUUGUAAAGAAUAUAAUUAAAAAAGCAGAUUGCUUUACCUACCAAGUAUUAUAGAAAGCAGUUCGAUAUUUUAUAUAUUUUUCAUAUAUAUGCAUUCUGUGCAAUUUUGUACUUUUGCUAUAAAUGCAUAAAAAUCUGCAGUGUAGGUAAUUACGGAGGUAAUUAGUGUGAACUGAAGAAGAUAGAAAGAAAACAAUCAUAAAAUCGACCACUCGAUUCGUGCUGAGGAUUAAUUGAAAGGUGACGUCAAAGUGCCGCGACUCAGUUGUAACGCACCGGUCGAAGAUAUUAACACAUACUGUUAACUUGGAAUGUGUAGUGAUCGAUUGUUGGUUCUUUGUGAUUGGUUAUUCAUGGAAAUUUAUGGUCAUGGGUAGAUAAAUUGUUUAUGGACAUAUUAUGUAUCGUAUUAACGCUUUAUGACGAUUGUUAGAAAAUGUAGAAGUUUCAAAGCAAGCAAUGACAAUACUAUUUAAAACAUGAAACAAUAAAACAAAAUAUACAGUGAAAGUUCGAAAGCGAUGGAAGAACUCAGUAAACGUUUGUGCAAAAUAAUUUGUAUAAUUGUAUUAGCGGGAUGAGACAAUAACAAUCAUGACAAUUAAUGUUGCAUUUAAUAUAUUUCACAUGCGUUGUAAAAGAAUUUAAGUUACAAGUUAUUAGUAUAGUAAUUAUUAUACAUGUGCAAAUAAAUUAUUUAUUAGCUAUAGCAUUUAAACAUUAUAAUAUAUAGUACUUUAAUAGAUAAAAUGAAGUUAUGAACUGAAUAAAUUCAAUAAAAUAGACAAUUUUUUUAAUAUGAAUUAGCUUAUUCUUAUAAGCAAAAUAUUAAUGGCGUUAUACGUAGUUAGUAUGUAGUUAAUAAAUAUUUUCAUUUCACUUUUUCAUUAUCGAUUUCUCAUAAAAACAUGUCUCAUAAAUGUACGUGGAAGCUAUGAGUAAUUGUAAACAGUGAAAGUUACUUAAUUAUUAGUCACCAAUCAUCAUUCACAACAUACCAAUCUGUAUUAAUCUGUAUUAUAUUUUCUAUUUAAUACUUUAUCACAUGAGAGGAACGACAACUUUUCAAAUAAUCCAUUUGUAAAUUUAAAUACUUCAUUUCGUUAAGAACAAGAUUCAACACAAGAGGGCGCUAAAAGUGCAUGCGAAAUGUCGAAAUUGAUCAUUGGCCAAAGUUUUAUCCGUAUUACGAGACGAGAGAAUGUAUGACGACGUGACAUAUUCAGGAAAAACUGACACGUGUGCAUUCGGCUGCAAUAGUGUGCGUGGACGACAGAUGUAUCUUGAUUCAGAGUCACGUGUUCAUCACUGCUAAUUUUUCGUCUUACACGUAACAUAUAACAGUAUUGUCAAAAUGAUCAUAGACACGUAGUGGUCACGUAUAGUGCUAUAGGUUGUGCAUGUUUCGUAUUGCGUAAGCUCUCGCAAAGAUUGUACAAUGCUUGUAAACGACCGAUCUAAUUCCAUCCAUCUACGAGCAUCAUUGAUCGCAAUAUUGAUUACAUAUAUUAAAUGCAACUAAAUUGGAUCAUCAUUGGCAAAUAAUGAAGAUAGACAUUGAAAAGCAGCGACGAAAAAUUAGACGCAAUUCUAGUGUGAUAAUUUAUUAGAUGUUCUUUUUAUACAAUGUAUUAUGUAUCUGCGUGCACUUAGAACUAUGAAAAACUGUUCACAAAUAAUAUGCAACAUGUAAAUUAUGUAUAUGCAUAAAUGCAACGAAAAUUGGAAUUUUAUUAAUCUUAUAUAAUUUCUAUUUCUCUAAUGAGAGUAACUUUCAAAUUCCAGUUCUUCUUCCCGUACCAUAUUGUAUACAAAAAGAAUUUAUUACAAUAGCUGAAAAGAUACAAAUAUUUCCACUGUUAUGACAGACAUAUGUAUGUUAUCGGUUAUAGGUUAUAUUGAUAAGUAAUGUAAAGCAACUUAUAUUCUCUCUCUCUGAAAUUAACUAUUAAGCUCAAAUUAUAUAUAAAAUAUUUCCAUACGUAAAUUCAAAGAGUUUUGAUGUUUCAGAUUAUAAAAUACACGAAUUGUCAUCGUUAUGGAGCACCAAGUGUUGCGCACUUUAAAAUGUUCUUUCGAAGUCACGCGUUAAUAGAUCACGUGACUUAGGUGAUUUAGGCGAAAGUAACUUUUUUUGCUAUUCAUUUAAACGUAAUUUAUUUUCCUUAAAACUAAUAUCCCUUUCAAUUUAUUUACGAAUUGAAGCAAAAAUAAUUUCGUUCUUCGCAAACGAAAUUUAAUUACUUUAUAGAUAUUAAAAACGUAAUUAUGAACAAAUUCUGUACAGCGUUCGUUUGAAGCAUAAAUUUAAAGUGUCAAGUCAUUGAUUUUGUUGCUUUUAAGAUUUGUAAAACAAUAGCUAUAUACAUAUAACUCGAAGUUGACUUGUACAUCUAUACAUUAUCGUAUGAUCGUACGAUAUCACAUUACAAUAUGAAAACAUGUGGCUCCUUGGAAAUUUGCGUAUGCGAUGUACAAUAAAAUAUCGAGCGAUGCUUUCAGGAUAAGCCCAUACUAUUUCAAGAUACAAAGCGUUUGACUGGGUGUAGACUAAAUGUCAGUCAAGGUCGAAUCUCAUUGCAGGUCAAUCAGCUUUUGCAUCAGUUUUUCGGUAUGAAGUAAUCGAUAAAAAUUUAUAAAAAC
This is a long non-coding RNA of Bombus impatiens (common eastern bumble bee), 2797 nucleotides long. RefSeq lists it as uncharacterized. Lineage: Eukaryota; Metazoa; Arthropoda; Insecta; Hymenoptera; Apidae. The transcript has 2 exons. The record is from RefSeq and is a predicted model, not a curated record.